Molecule: ribosomal RNA, 490 nt
Filed under: uncultured bacterium
Lineage: Bacteria
Description: partial 16S ribosomal RNA
Rfam family: Bacterial small subunit ribosomal RNA
Source: RNAcentral
AUUGAACGCUGGCGGCAGGCCUAACACAUGCAAGUCGAACGGUAACAGGAAGCAGCUUGCUGCUUCGCUGACGAGUGGCGGACGGGUGAGUAAUGUCUGGGAAGCUGCCUGAUGGAGGGGGAUAACUACUGGAAACGGUAGCUAAUACCGCAUAAUGUCGCAAGACCAAAGAGGGGGGCCUUCGGGCCUCUUGCCAUCGGAUGUGCCCAGAUGGGAUUAGCUUGUUGGUGGGGUAACGGCUCACCAAGGCGACGAUCCCUAGCUGGUCUGAGAGGAUGACCAGCCACACUGGAACUGAGACACGGUCCAGACUCCUACGGGAGGCAGCAGUGGGGAAUAUUGCACAAUGGGCGCAAGCCUGAUGCAGCCAUGCCGCGUGUAUGAAGAAGGCCUUCGGGUUGUAAAGUACUUUCAGCGGGGAGGAGGGGAGUAAAGUUAAUACCUUUGCUCAUUGACGUUACCCGCAGAAGAAGCACCGGCUAACUCCGUG